UGGGGAAUAUUGGACAAUGGGCGCAAGCCUGAUCCAGCCAUGCCGCGUGAGUGACGAAGGCCUUAGGGUUGUAAAGCUCUUUUGGCGGGGAAGAUAAUGACGGUACCCGCAGAAUAAGCUCCGGCUAACUUCGUGCCAGCAGCCGCGGUAAUACGAAGGGAGCUAGCGUUGUUCGGAAUCACUGGGCGUAAAGCGCACGUAGGUGGGCAGUUAAGUCAGGGGUGAAAGCCCGAGGCUCAACCUCGGAAUUGCCUCUGAUACUGGCUGUCUAGAGUUCGAGAGAGGUGAGUGGAAUUCCUAGUGUAGAGGUGAAAUUCGUAGAUAUUAGGAAGAACACCGGUGGCGAAGGCGGCUCACUGGCUCGAUACUGACACUGAGGUGCGAAAGCGUGGGGAGCAAACAGGAUUAGAUACCCUAGUAGUCCCUGAGCGGGCUGGCAAGGCGCAU
This 447-nucleotide ribosomal RNA is filed under the name uncultured bacterium. Its description in RNAcentral is "bacterial SSU rRNA". It matches the Rfam family "Bacterial small subunit ribosomal RNA", at positions 355 to 825 of the family's 1533-position model. The record is from RNAcentral.